CGUUAUGGCAGCUGUGCGCGGGAGGCCUUCUGGCCUGCCGGGUUCCUGGGUGACCGGUUUUUCCACCCCGCGUACAGUUGCCGCCUCU
RNAcentral lists this non-coding RNA (88 nucleotides) under Pseudomonas sp. CC120222-01a. The record is from RNAcentral. Lineage: Bacteria; Pseudomonadati; Pseudomonadota; Gammaproteobacteria; Pseudomonadales; Pseudomonadaceae.